RNAcentral lists this ribosomal RNA (1297 nucleotides) under Salmonella enterica. RNAcentral describes it as "partial 23S ribosomal RNA". It matches the Rfam family "Bacterial large subunit ribosomal RNA", at positions 1243 to 2523 of the family's 2925-position model. The record is from RNAcentral. Lineage: Bacteria; Pseudomonadati; Pseudomonadota; Gammaproteobacteria; Enterobacterales; Enterobacteriaceae.
UAAGCCUGUGAAGGUGUGUCGUGAGGCAUGCUGGAGGUAUCAGAAGUGCGAAUGCUGACAUAAGUAACGAUAAAGCGGGUGAAAAGCCCGCUCGCCGGAAGACCAAGGGUUCCUGUCCAACGUUAAUCGGGGCAGGGUGAGUCGACCCCUAAGGCGAGGCCGAAAGGCGUAGUCGAUGGGAAACGGGUUAAUAUUCCCGUACUUGGUGUUACUGCGAAGGGGGGACGGAGAAGGCUAUGUUGGCCGGGCGACGGUUGUCCCGGUUUAAGCGUGUAGGUGUGUGUUCCAGGUAAAUCCGGUUCACUUUAACACUGAGGCGUGACGACGAGGCACUACGGUGCUGAAGCAACAAAUGCCCUGCUUCCAGGAAAAGCCUCUAAGCAUCAGGUAACAUCAAAUCGUACCCCAAACCGACACAGGUGGUCAGGUAGAGAAUACCAAGGCGCUUGAGAGAACUCGGGUGAAGGAACUAGGCAAAAUGGUGCCGUAACUUCGGGAGAAGGCACGCUGACACGUAGGUGAAGUGAUUUACUCAUGGAGCUGAAGUCAGUCGAAGAUACCAGCUGGCUGCAACUGUUUAUUAAAAACACAGCACUGUGCAAACACGAAAGUGGACGUAUACGGUGUGACGCCUGCCCGGUGCCGGAAGGUUAAUUGAUGGGGUCAGCGCAAGCGAAGCUCCUGAUCGAAGCCCCGGUAAACGGCGGCCGUAACUAUAACGGUCCUAAGGUAGCGAAAUUCCUUGUCGGGUAAGUUCCGACCUGCACGAAUGGCGUAAUGAUGGCCAGGCUGUCUCCACCCGAGACUCAGUGAAAUUGAACUCGCUGUGAAGAUGCAGUGUACCCGCGGCAAGACGGAAAGACCCCGUGAACCUUUACUAUAGCUUGACACUGAACAUUGAGCCUUGAUGUGUAGGAUAGGUGGGAGGCUUUGAAGUGUGGACGCCAGUCUGCAUGGAGCCGACCUUGAAAUACCACCCUUUAAUGUUUGAUGUUCUAACGUGGACCCGUGAUCCGGGUUGCGGACAGUGUCUGGUGGGUAGUUUGACUGGGGCGGUCUCCUCCUAAAGAGUAACGGAGGAGCACGAAGGUUGGCUAAUCCUGGUCGGACAUCAGGAGGUUAGUGCAAUGGCAUAAGCCAGCUUGACUGCGAGCGUGACGGCGCGAGCAGGUGCGAAAGCAGGUCAUAGUGAUCCGGUGGUUCUGAAUGGAAGGGCCAUCGCUCAACGGAUAAAAGGUACUCCGGGGAUAACAGGCUGAUACCGCCCAAGAGUUCAUAUCGACGGCGGUGUUUGGCA